RNAcentral lists this transfer RNA (85 nucleotides) under Vibrio parahaemolyticus. Its description in RNAcentral is "tRNA-Leu". It matches the Rfam family "tRNA". From Rfam's summary of the family: Transfer RNA (tRNA) molecules are approximately 80 nucleotides in length. Their secondary structure includes four short double-helical elements and three loops (D, anti-codon, and T loops). The record is from RNAcentral. Lineage: Bacteria; Pseudomonadati; Pseudomonadota; Gammaproteobacteria; Vibrionales; Vibrionaceae.
GCGGAAAUGGCGGAAUUGGUAGACGCACCAGAUUUAGGGUCUGGCGCCGUAAGGUGUGAGAGUUCAAGUCUCUCCUUCCGCACCA